AUACGUAGGUGGCAAGCGUUGUCCGGAAUUAUUGGGCGUAAAGCGCGCGCAGGCGGUCCUUUAAGUCUGAUGUGAAAGCCCACGGCUCAACCGUGGAGGGUCAUUGGAAACUGGGGGACUUGAGUGCAGAAGAGGAAAGUGGAAUUCCAAGUGUAGCGGUGAAAUGCGUAGAGAUUUGGAGGAACACCAGUGGCGAAGGCGCCUUUCUGGUCUGUAACUGACGCUGAGGCGCGAAAGCGUGGGGAGCAAACAGGAUUAGAUACCCUGGUAGUCCACGCCGUAAGCGAUGAGUGCUAAGUGUUGGGGGGUUUCCGCCCCUCAGUGCUGCAGCUAACGCAUUAAGCACUCCGCCUGGGGAGUACGGUCGCAAGACUGAAACUCAAAUGAAUUGACGGGG
Molecule: ribosomal RNA, 397 nt
Filed under: uncultured bacterium
Lineage: Bacteria
Description: partial 16S ribosomal RNA
Rfam family: Bacterial small subunit ribosomal RNA
Source: RNAcentral